UACGGAGGGGGCAAGCGUUGUUCGGAAUUACUGGGCGUAAAGGGCGCGUAGGCGGCUUUGCAAGUUGGGCGUGAAAGCCCUGGGCUUAACCCAGGAAUUGCGCUUGAGACUGCUAGGCUUGAGUGCGGGAGAGGUGAGUGGAAUUCCCAGUGUAGAGGUGAAAUUCGUAGAUAUUGGGAAGAACACCAGUGGCGAAGGCGGCUCACUGGCCCGCAACUGACGCUGAGGCGCGAAAGCGUGGGGAGCAAACAGG
RNAcentral lists this ribosomal RNA (253 nucleotides) under uncultured bacterium. RNAcentral's name for it is "partial 16S ribosomal RNA". It matches the Rfam family "Bacterial small subunit ribosomal RNA", at positions 524 to 776 of the family's 1533-position model. The record is from RNAcentral.